This is a long non-coding RNA of Brachypodium distachyon (stiff brome), 448 nucleotides long. RefSeq lists it as uncharacterized. NCBI's taxonomy places the organism in Eukaryota, Viridiplantae, Streptophyta, Magnoliopsida, Poales, Poaceae. The transcript is spliced from 2 exons. The record is from RefSeq and is a predicted model, not a curated record.
CUCACUUUUGGCGAGGAUUGAUGCCAGUCAAAAAUAUUUUCACUAAUUGCUGCAAGGAGAAGGUAGGUGAUGGAAUUAGGACCUCUUUCUGGGAGGAGAAUUGGAUUGGUGACCGACCAUUAUGCUCCAAAUUCCCCAGGAGGGUGAUCGAGAUAAGCUGAGGCAUGGAGCAUCCAUGCUAUCUUUCAUCACAUCUGAAGUAUCUCGGGCGCAUGCUGAAUGGAAGGCGGCAACAACGCGAUGGGAAGCCCAAGAACUGUGCUGUGCGGUGCAACGAACGAAACGCUGUGGAUUUUUAUUGAAAUCUCAAAGCUGAGAGAGUAUAUGUGGUACAGACAUCACAAUCAGAAAGAAAGAGUAUCGUGUAAUGAGCUAUGGUAGGUAGUAUCUGUGUAACACAUCAACCACACGAGAAUCGCUAAAAUGACAUGAAGAUGUACACAGAAGA